UAGUGUCAACAUGGCAGCCUACAUGUUGUUCCUUGUACCCUUCUGAGUUAAGCGCUCAGAUUCUUUGAAUUUUGUUAGAUUUCCGUGAAAACGUCUAAAUAUGUUUCACUUACUUUGUAAUAGAGUCAGCACAACUGCACCGUUGCGCCCCCUCUACUCGCAUUUGAAUAGAACACAAGGUUUAUGGAGACAGCCACGAUCACGGCUAUACACAACACAAUUGGCCAAUGCAGGCAACUCCUCUGGACAGCCAAGUAAUGCUGCUGGGCGUAUCUGGGGUCUGGCUCAAGCAGCAGUUCGCCAAUCUGCCUGCUGGAUGUCAAAACCACCAGGGGGGGCCCUGAAGUUCAUUUUAGGGCCAGUGGUUCUCACCAUCUCUGCUCGAGUACUUGGUAGUGUAGCAUAUUGCCAGGCAGAUGUGAAUAACAAUGUUCUACUAGAGCUUCAAGCCAAAGAAACUGAGCCUGAGUUUGACUGGCAUAUCCUGUGGGAGUUUGUCAAACCCCAGCUUUUUGCCCUUCUUGGUGCUGUUGUGCUUGCUUUUGGUGCUGCCAUCUUGAAUAUUCAAAUUCCCCUGAUGUUGGGCGAUCUGGUGAACAUAGUGGCACGCUACAUGAGAGAACAUACUGGGAAUUACAUGAGAGAGAUGAGGGGACCUGCUCUGAAGUUGCUGGGAUUGUAUGGUCUCCAAGGUCUGCUCACGACUGGUUACAUCAUCCUGCUUUCCAGGGUAGGGGAGCGAGUAGCAGCAGACAUGAGAAAGACUCUUUUCCAAUCUUUACUCAGGCAAGAUGUAGCCUUCUUUGAUUCCAACAAAACUGGCAUGCUGGUGAACCGUUUGACUGCUGAUAUUCAGGAGUUCAAGUCUUCCUUCAAACUGGUCGUCUCUCAGGGCCUGCGGAGUGUAACACAGACGGUUGGCUGUUUCGUGUCCCUCUAUGUCAUCUCCCCUAAACUCACUGGUAUGACAGUGGUGAUACUUCCCUGUCUGGUGGGGGCAGGAGCUCUGAUUGGCUCAUUCCUUCGCAGGCUGUCCCGAUUGGCUCAGGAACAGGUGUCGAAAGCAACAGGGGUGGCAGACGAGGCCAUUGGCAAUGUGAGGACAGUGAAAGCCUUCGCCAUGGAGGAGCGAGAGAUGCAGUUAUAUGCCUGGGAAGUGGACAAAUCAUGCGAGAUGAAUGAAUCUCUAGGCUCAGGGAUAGCUGUUUUCCAAGGAAUGUCAAAUAUCGUCCUGAACUGCAUUGUUUUAGGCACCAUCUUUGCUGGUGGGUCAUUGAUGGCAGGUGAUGAAAUGUCUCCAGGUGACCUCAUGUCUUUCCUGGUGGCUUCACAGACGGUGCAGAGGUCUUUGGCCAGCAUCUCUAUCCUGUUUGGCCAAAUGGUCAGAGGCCUCAGCUCUGGGGCCCGUGUUUUUGAGUACCUGUCUUUGGAGCCUACCAUUCCACUUUCGGGAGGAGGCCGCAUUCCUUACAAAUCUCUGACAGGACGGGUGGACUUCAUGAACAUUACUUUCAGUUACCCAACGAGACCUGGCCAACGGAUCCUAAAGAACUUCAACCUCAUCAUCCCCCCCUGUAAGACUGUCGCAAUCGUUGGAGAGUCCGGAGGAGGGAAGUCCACAGUGGCCUCCUUGUUGGAGCGUUUCUAUGACCCCAGCAGUGGUGUGAUCAUGUUGGAUGGUCUGGAUAUCCGGACACUGGAUCCAUCCUGGCUCAGAGGACAAGUCAUUGGAUUUAUCAAUCAGAACCCACCCCUGCGUGUAGGAGCCUGUGCUGUUUGGCUCCUCCGUGAUGGAGAACAUUCGCUUUGGAAAGCCGGAGGCCACUGAUGCUGAGGUCAUCAAUGCUGCCAAGCAGGCCAACGCCCACCGCUUUAUCACAGGCUUUCCAGAUGGAUACAACACUGUGGUUGGUGAGCGAGGAGUGACUAUGUCAGGGGGCCAGAAGCAGCGUAUUGCCAUUGCCCGCGCCCUGAUCAAGAACCCCAGCAUCCUGGUCCUGGACGAGGCCACCAGUGCACUGGACGCAGAGUCAGAGCGGGUGGUGCAAGAGGCUCUGGACCGGGCCACCACAGGACGCACUGUGCUCAUCAUCGCCCACAGACUCAGCACCAUCCAGAGGGCAGACCUCAUCUGUGUCAUGAGCAAUGGACGCAUUGUAGAGGCUGGAACUCACGCGGAAUUGCUGAGCAAAGGAGGGCUGUAUGCUGACCUGAUACGCAGGCAGAGAUCAGAGGGAGAGAAGUGAACACUACUUUUGAUAUGGCACAGAACUGUAGGCCUAUAUCAUGAACUAGGGACAGCCUUUUCAUAAGAAAUGAAAAAGAUGCAUAGGUAUUAUCACUUGUUUUGUUGGUGUAAAGUUGAUUUAGUUUAAUGGUCCAAUUCCAUUUUUUUUAAAGCCAAAUGUAUGGUUGGACCAAUUGAAUUAUAUUUUGUGGCCCAAGUAAGGCUGCUGAAAUUGCAAGUGUUUAUCAUGUGUUUAUAGGAAGAGAAUACUAACUGUACAGGAUGUGAAUGUGGUUUUAGCAGGGUUACUUGGCCCUGUACUGUGUCUGUACAUUUUGCAAUACUUUUAAUCAUUAAAUUCUAUUCAUCCACUAA
RNA transcript from Oncorhynchus kisutch (coho salmon), 2602 nucleotides. It is a transcript of the gene named ATP-binding cassette, sub-family B (MDR/TAP), member 8, with no coding region annotated. Lineage: Eukaryota; Metazoa; Chordata; Actinopteri; Salmoniformes; Salmonidae. The transcript is spliced from 16 exons. The record is from RefSeq and is a predicted model, not a curated record.